This is a non-coding RNA of Anas platyrhynchos (mallard), 3913 nucleotides long. NCBI's taxonomy places the organism in Eukaryota, Metazoa, Chordata, Aves, Anseriformes, Anatidae. The record is from RefSeq and is a predicted model, not a curated record.
UUAAUGAGGACCUGCUGUUUAAAGACUGGGUGCCCAGCCAGCUCACCUAGGCUGAAGCUGGCUGGGAAGGGUCAGUACGCAGCUCCAGGGGGACCAGGAGGUGUUUUGGGUAUGGAGCAGAGGAAGGCCUGCUGUGUUGUGCCUUUCCGAAAUAGCCUGGCCACCUGAUUAUUCUUUUACCCAGGAAAUCCUCUGGCAAGAACUGAAUGGUUUCCCAUGAAUGGGAAACCCAGACAGUGUGGUGCUCCAGAUUACUUUAAUAUGUUUUUCCUGGAACGAGGAUGCACCAGCAGUCCAUGCUCUGCAGGUAUGGCUGCAACACCUGAUGGGGUGAUAACUGCAAUCAGGAGCUGUCUCCCUGCUCAGAGCCAGGCCGUGCUCCCAGAGUGAAUUCAGCCCACGCUGCCUGCGAGGCCAGCCCCAGUCCGUGUGUUCACUUACCCUCAUCUGCAUCUGUAGCUCUGAAGGCUGGAGGAUGAUGGAGGGCAAGCAGCAGCUUUUCCUCCGCAGACUAAUAGCUGUAGCAGCAGAGAUCUGUCAUGUCUUCACGACUGCCUUGGUUUACAGUGCACUCCCCAUCUGCUGCAUGUAAAAAAGGCAGUGUCAGCCGUAAAAUAUUGGAAGUCUGACUCCAGCACAAAGAUCCCUGACAAUUUAAUAAGAAUUCCUCAUGGUGCUUCACAAGCUCUUUCAGGGCUCUGACACGAUGCCUCAGGCAGGAUGGAUUACACAGGCUCCCGGGCACUCUCCAAGAGGGAAUUGCGCUGGCCAGUAGGUGUGAGUCAGCGAAGCAGCUCACUUCAUCAGCACCGACUGACGCCUCGCAUCCUGUAAACUGAGGGCAACCUCAUACUCCCUGGCCUUUUUUUUCUGCUGUGAGACAAGAUAGAGGACGUCACCGUUGCCUCCUCGAGUGGCUCACACGUAAGCCUUAAUGGGACACUGGGUUUAGUAAAUGCGUGGCUUCAUUGCUUCUAUAGGAAAGCUUUGUAUCCUUCACAUAAACACACGGAGUCAAUGGGGAUGGACAUAACCUUUUAAAUACUUAUUUUCCUGAAAUCUGUGAGUAUAUCCCAAAUAAAUCUUAGCAGAAGGUUUCAUUUUUCUUUCGCCUGGUCGAUACUCAGCUUGCAGGGAGCUGAUACAUCUGUUUAUUUUCUUCAUCAUCUUGCAGGAUGUACAUAGUGCACAGAACCAUGAAAAAGAAGCGGCUGGAAAAGAGAUGCUGUUAUUUGCUCUUAUCUCAGCCCAUGAUUUUUGAAAAGAGCUGACAUAAGAUUUAAUAAAUAUUCAGUUAAAAGGGGAAAAAAAUGCUUUUCCGCAAAGCUGCAGCUUUUGACUGGAGGAAAUAAAAAUAAAAAAUAAGAGAAUUCUCCUGGAUGAAAAUAAGAGAUGGGAUGACUGUACCCAGAUUAAAAUACCAGAUUGAUAUCCUUGAUCACUACCUCGAGCCAAUCUAUGCAGUCACACGUAGCAGCAAAUUCUCUAUCAGAACUCUAGCCCAGUUCCUAGAUGAUGUUUGAAAGGGGAAAUAAAUAUGUGAGUGGAUGAUAAACAGCGACAUAAUGCAGAGACAAUAGGGAUAGAUGGUAUGUGUCAGGGCAGACAAAACCCAGAUAUAUCACAGAAAUGGGAUCCUACGGCCUAAUGGGACACUGGCUUAAAAAAAUUUCCAGUGUAUCCCAAACAGGUCUUCUCACUACUGUCAUACAGCAACAGCUCUCAGCCAAAAGGGCAAGGCAGCUUCCAAUUUCUGCUGUCCUCCCCCCUCUACCCCCCCCAAUAAAGGUAAUACAAUAAUACUGAGUUUCUGAGAACAGUGAGAACAAGGAAGAAAAUCUCUAACUGUGAAAAAAAGAAAAAGAAAAAAAAAAGAAAAUUAGGAAGAUACAAAAAGGAUGCUUGAAAAAGGAGUAGGUCGAGUGAUGAGAAAUGCAGUCACAAGAUGGUUAACCUACCCCACCCCACCCCCUGUCCUGUUCUUGUUGUCCUAGUGCUGAUUCUGGGCACAGAGGAGCUCAGAGCCCUCCUUAGUCCAGGAUGACACUGUUUGCUACCUGGUGCAGACUGGGUUUCCAAAACACUGCUCUAAAGCACCAUCCAAAGCGUAUGAUGAUGAAGGUCCUCAGGAAAAACUAGGUCAAUGUUACACGUUUCUGCACGAGGAGCGUCAGGAUGUGAUGUGAAUAGCUGCUGCAGUGGCUGCUGCAGGAGGGGCUGGCGUGUGGACACGGCUACGCUGAUAAGAGGUUGGUUUUGUGGGCGAGGGGAGGAUAUGGCAUUAUUCAAACCUGCCCCAGGGGCUGGUACCAGCAGAGCAGAGCUGUGGUUACAGAUGCUGCUUCAUUUAAAAAAACAUUUUUGAGUCCAUUCAAACAAACAAAUAAGCAAAGGAGGUGGCAAGCUUGUUGCCUUUGGGGUCAGGGUGGCUGGCUGCUCAGUUGCAAGCAAAACUUGGGAUGGGAAUUUGUUUAACGAGUGCUUUAAUUCCUCUUUCAUUGUGCUCAGCGACUCCUUACUGUAAGUUUUGGCAGAGCAGGCAAUGCCUAUUCACGGGUACUCACACCUCCUUCAGCAGCAGAUCAUUUUGUGCUGUCCAUCCAGAUAUUGUAUCUGAAUAAAUCUGAGGUUUCACUCAGAGGCAUCUGCUCUCUGAGUCGUCUGCUGCCUCCAGUGAGGAUAUUACAGAGCCACGAUACAAACCCAACCAUUUGGAAACAGCCAUCUUUAGCUAUUAAUGCCAUUUUAAUAAUGACAAAGCUCCGGGUUAAAAACAAUCCUUUGAUCUUUGAAAGGCUUGAAAAUGAGCAGGACAGAGAGGAAGUUCAGUUCCGAUUACCUGCAGAUGUCUGCACACAGUGCUGUGCCCUUUGGGACCAAGGAGCUGUAUUUGUUAAAAAGGAAAAAAAAAACCAGCACCUUAAUUAAAUUAAAAUGAGUAUCAACAAUGAUUUGAAACAAACAUGGUUAAAAAUUGGAAAUGCUUUGACUUCUGGCUGAAAAGAGCUCUGAGAGAGGUCUCAGAGGAGAAGGCAACGAGCAGCCAGGGAUAUUAUUCAUCAGCGUUCGGUUGGCUUUUAAAUAGGAGUUUGCUUUGCCUGCUGGUUCAUGCACCUGAGUGGCAAUGAUCUGUCAAAAAAGUAUAUUUCAUUUCUGGUGCGGGGAACUUUUCUCAGGAGCUGUUUGCUGUCCUGUUAGGAGGUUAUUGACUGCUGCAUUACGCCUGAAAAACCGCCUGUGAAACUGCACCACGAGUGCUUGGGAAUACGGAAACUCUGCAGAGAUGCAGGUAAUUCAGCUGGGGAAGAAGAAGAAUGGUGGUUAUCAAGCAGAAAUCUUCGGAAUGAGAGCAAGCUUUGCCCCAGCUGGAGGCUGACAGGCCAGAUGUUGGCCAUAAGGAAGCAGAAAGCAUCCGAAGAGCUGGACCAGGAGCUGUAGCAUCUCUGAGUCUACCUGGGAGGAAGGGGGAGAUGCAACCCCAUGCCUGGAGCUUCAGGGGACACUGCAGUAGCUGAAAGGCAGCAGGAGCUUCCCAGGGGAUCUGGCACUGUGGAGGAACACCACUGGCACAGCCCUGCAGCAGUGCAGCUAUGGGACUGGUAAAGGAGCUGCUGUUGCCCAGUCCUUUUCUGUCUGCCUACCUCAAUAAAUGCUGCAGUUCAAACCACUCAGAUCAAAAACUCCAGUGCUAAGACCUGUGGCUCCCAGAAACCCCCCAGACUCAUUUUGAAUCAUAGAAUAAAAUCACAGAACAUAAAAUCGUUCCAUAGAAUUGUUCCAUAAAAUCAUAUGGAUAUAAUGGAUAUUAUGGAUAUAAUCCAUGAAAUCUGUUGAAUCAGAAGAGAGCAGAUAGGUUGCAAAUUUUCACGUUGCUGAUGUUUCUCCUGUGUCAGGCUUUGUUUUCUUUCACUGU